GACGAACGCUGGCGGCGUGCUUAACACAUGCAAGUCGAACGGAAAGGCCCUGCUUUUGUGGGGUGCUCGAGUGGCGAACGGGUGAGUAACACGUGAGUAACCUGCCCUUGACUUUGGGAUAACUUCAGGAAACUGGGGCUAAUACCGGAUAGGAGCUCCUGCUGCAUGGUGGGGGUUGGAAAGUUUCGGCGGUUGGGGAUGGACUCGCGGCUUAUCAGCUUGUUGGUGGGGUAGUGGCUUACCAAGGCUUUGACGGGUAGCCGGCCUGAGAGGGUGACCGGCCACAUUGGGACGGAGUUACGGCCCAGACUCCUACGGGAGGCAGCAGGGGGGAAUAUUGCACAAGGGGCGGAGCCUGAUGCAGCAACGCCGCGUGCGGGAUGACGGCCUUCGGGUUGUAAACCGCUUUCGCCUGUGACGAAGCGUGAGUGACGGUAAUGGGUAAAGAAGCACCGGCUAACUACGUG
Molecule: ribosomal RNA, 467 nt
Filed under: uncultured bacterium
Lineage: Bacteria
Description: partial 16S ribosomal RNA
Rfam family: Bacterial small subunit ribosomal RNA
Source: RNAcentral